GUGCCAGCCGCAGCGGUAAUACGGAGGGUGCAAGCGUUAAUCGGAAUUACUGGGCGUAAAGCGCACGCAGGCGGUCUGACAAGUCGGAUGUGAAAUCCCCGGGCUCAACCCGGGAACUGCAUUCGAAACUGUCAGGCUGGAGUCUUGUAGAGGGGGGUAGAAUUCCAGGUGUAGCGGUGAAAUGCGUAGAGAUCUGGAGGAAUACCGGUGGCGAAGGCGGCCCCCUGGACAAAGACUGACGCUCAGGUGCGAAAGCGUGGGGAGCAAACAGGAUUAGAUACCCUGGUAGUCCACGCCGUAAACGAUGUCUAUUUGGAGGUUGUGCCCUUGAGGCGUGGCUUCCGGAGCUAACGCGUUAAAUAGACCGCCUGGGGAGUACGGCCGCAAGGUUAAAACUCAAAUGAAUUGACGGGGGCCCGCACAAGCGGUGGAGCAUGUGGUUUAAUUCGAUGCAACGCGAAGAACCUUACCUGGUCUUGACAUCCACAGAAGUUUUCAGAGAUGAGAAUGUGCCUUCGGGAACUGUGAGACAGGUG
Molecule: ribosomal RNA, 536 nt
Filed under: uncultured Salmonella sp.
Lineage: Bacteria; Pseudomonadati; Pseudomonadota; Gammaproteobacteria; Enterobacterales; Enterobacteriaceae
Description: bacterial SSU rRNA
Rfam family: Bacterial small subunit ribosomal RNA
Source: RNAcentral